This is a long non-coding RNA of Notolabrus celidotus (New Zealand spotty), 264 nucleotides long. RefSeq lists it as uncharacterized. NCBI's taxonomy places the organism in Eukaryota, Metazoa, Chordata, Actinopteri, Labriformes, Labridae. The transcript is spliced from 3 exons. The record is from RefSeq and is a predicted model, not a curated record.
GGACCAGAUUCUGCUGGACCAGGACCUGGACCCAGCUGUGUGUCCUUAAAGAGUGGUUGGUCUAAGGAUCUGCCUAAUGUCUUCAAAGAUGGACGUCAGUCUGAUGGUCCAAAAAUCCAACAUCAGAGACCAGACUCUCCUGGACCUGGACCCAGCUGUGUGUCCUUAAAGAGGGGCGGGUCUUUGUGUCGAUUCGAUGACUUCAAAUCUGUAGAGAUGAGUGCUGAUGAAAGAGGUCAGAGAUCAGAGGCUCCCAUUGGUCAG